RNAcentral lists this ribosomal RNA (242 nucleotides) under uncultured bacterium. RNAcentral's name for it is "partial 16S ribosomal RNA". It matches the Rfam family "Bacterial small subunit ribosomal RNA", at positions 1258 to 1500 of the family's 1533-position model. The record is from RNAcentral.
CGAGGUGGAGCAAAUCCCUAAAAGCCAUCCCAGUUCGGAUUGCAGGCUGCAACCCGCCUGUAUGAAGUUGGAAUCGCUAGUAAUCGCGGAUCAGCAUGCCGCGGUGAAUACGUUCCCGGGCCUUGUACACACCGCCCGUCACACCAUGAGAGUCGGGAACACCCGAAGUCCGUAGCCUAACCGCAAGGGGGGCGCGGCCGAAGGUGGGUUCGAUAAUUGGGGUGAAGUCGUAACAAGGUAUC